RNAcentral lists this ribosomal RNA (948 nucleotides) under Schleiferilactobacillus harbinensis. RNAcentral's name for it is "bacterial SSU rRNA". It matches the Rfam family "Bacterial small subunit ribosomal RNA", at positions 40 to 949 of the family's 1533-position model. Lineage: Bacteria; Bacillati; Bacillota; Bacilli; Lactobacillales; Lactobacillaceae. The record is from RNAcentral.
CGGGGAGCUAUAAUGCAAGUCGAACGAGGUUUGGUCAGUUUGCGGUGGUGCUUGCAUCACCAAUUACCGAUCAAACCGAGUGGCGGACGGGUGAGUAACACGUGGGUAACCUGCCCUUCAGCAGGGGAUAACAUUUGGAAACAGAUGCUAAUACCGUAUAACCACGGAGACCGCAUGGUCUCCGGGUAAAAGAUGGCGCAAGCUAUCACUGAAGGAUGGACCCGCGGCGUAUUAGCCAGUUGGUGGGGUAACGGCCUACCAAAGCGAUGAUACGUAGCCGACCUGAGAGGGUAAUCGGCCACAUUGGGACUGAGACACGGCCCAAACUCCUACGGGAGGCAGCAGUAGGGAAUCUUCCACAAUGGACGCAAGUCUGAUGGAGCAACGCCGCGUGAGUGAAGAAGGCUUUCGGGUCGUAAAACUCUGUUAUUGAAGAAGAACGUGUGUGACAGUAACUGGUCAUGCAGUGACGGUAUUCAAUCAGAAAGUCACGGCUAACUACGUGCCAGCAGCCGCGGUAAUACGUAGGUGGCAAGCGUUGUCCGGAUUUAUUGGGCGUAAAGCGAGUGCAGGCGGUCUUUUAAGUCUGAUGUGAAAGCCUUCGGCUUAACCGAAGAAGGGCAUCGGAAACUGGGAGACUUGAGUGCAGAAGAGGAGAGUGGAACUCCAUGUGUAGCGGUGAAAUGCGUAGAUAUAUGGAAGAACACCAGUGGCGAAGGCGGCUCUCUGGUCUGUAACUGACGCUGAGGCUCGAAAGCGUGGGUAGCAAACAGGAUUAGAUACCCUGGUAGUCCACGCCGUAAACGAUGAAUACUAAGUGUUGGAGGGUUUCCGCCCUUCAGUGCUGCAGCUAACGCAUUAAGUAUUCCGCCUGGGGAGUACGACCGCAAGGUUGAAACUCAAAGGAAUUGACGGGGGCCCGCACAAGCGGUGGAGCAUGUGGUUUAA